AUUGGUCCUCGGUAGUGGUUUCCGGGCAGUUAUACCCGUGAACUUCGAUCGAAGAUCCAU
Molecule: non-coding RNA, 60 nt
Submitted as: unclassified sequences
Source: Rfam